Molecule: long non-coding RNA, 1272 nt
Organism: Anas platyrhynchos (mallard)
Lineage: Eukaryota; Metazoa; Chordata; Aves; Anseriformes; Anatidae
Source: RefSeq, a predicted model, not a curated record
UUACACUUAACAUGUUAAAGUUAAUUGGCAGUGAUCUAAUUUCUAACUCAGAAGCGAGCGCAGCGCAGAGGUGGGCUAGGCCCUCAGAUGGAUUGAGAGGCUGAAGCAGCACUAACAGAUGUUAUCUAAAACAUCGCCCACGUGUUUGAUCUGAUUUUUUUCCACUUUUCUGAUCAACGGUUGGACAGCUUUGGAUGCAUUGCUCUUGAGCUUGGAUGAGGUGAUCCAUGAAUAUUAACUACCUGUCUUCUUCCAGCAAGGGGAAAUGCCAGCUGUUGAAGAACUGGAUUCUGGGGUGAAGUUAGAUUGGUGUAAUACUGUCUGUAAUUUCUUGGCAGGUAUUUAUAUGAGAUCGCACUGAGCCUUCUCCUCUCCAGCCUGAACAGCCCCAGUUCUCAGUCCCUCCUCCUCCAUGCUUCAGUACCUCCAUCACCUUUGUGGCCCUGCACUGGGCUUACUCUAUCAGUAAAGGGGGCUACAGACAAAAGACACCUACUUUCCUAACCUGGGCUCCAAAAGUGGAAAGAAAAUUUCAUGUAAAUGGUGGGAAGACAGCAAGCAGAAGGGGACAGCCUACUCAUUGAACUCCUAGCACCAGGCUUUGUCCUGGACCCCAGCAUUUCUGAGUUUUGCUGUGCCUGCAUUGUCACCAGAGAUCUGUGAAGUAAUCACUGGUGUGGAGAGUGUGUCAUCUUUUAGCUAAUGCUGACCUAGAAAAGAGAGCGGCCUAUUUAUGACGGUAUUUCUCAGAGUAAUAGAAUAACCGGUGCCUGUGCCUAAGAUAUAAGAAUUUGAAACAUUUACAUGUAUCAAAUGUAAUGCUGAAGUAUACAAUUAUACUAGCAGCCUGUAUGGAAAAGGGCUGGAAAAAAAAAAAAAAAAAGGUUUUAAGGAGAAAUGAACAGUCAAAUAAAAGCAAAUAUAAAGAAGAAAAUUAUUUGAAAGUCAAUUGUAAUAUCUCAUGGAGAUGUAAUUUCUAAUACUGUUAUACUGUUGUUAAAAUAUAAUUUUAUAUUACAUUUCUGUAAGAUGCUUAAUUUACUCUGUUCCUCUUUCUGCUGAAAUGAAUGGAUUAUUUUUUUAUUAUUUUAAAGGAAAGUGCUUGACAAAGGCGAGCCCUACUGUACAUUCAGGUUUUCAGGGACUCUUCGUAGAGAUCACUAUCUAACUGAUUUCCUGCUCUGUCAUUGGAUAUUAUUUCUUUUCAGUUCUUAGUGUUCUAUUGUCUAAAUAGAUUUUAUUUUUCAGAAAUACAAGAUUCUUCCAAGGUGU